Long non-coding RNA from Actinia tenebrosa (Australian red waratah sea anemone), 346 nucleotides. RefSeq lists it as uncharacterized. The record is from RefSeq and is a predicted model, not a curated record. NCBI's taxonomy places the organism in Eukaryota, Metazoa, Cnidaria, Anthozoa, Actiniaria, Actiniidae.
UCUGUCUGGGUGUUCUGGGCGUUUUGCAUUGAUUCAUAGCGAUAAAUAAUCGAUGUUUUUCUUUGUCGUUUUGUCAAAAAUAUCCACGUAUUAUUGUAGAAUGAUAGAUUAGCCUUGUCAGGUCUUUGUGGCAACUAUAAUAAUGAUCCAACAGACGAUUUUCGGCAAGGAAGCGAUGGAAGAGUGGUACAAACUGAAGAAAACUUCAUGGAGAGUUGGAGAAUUUCUGAAGACAAAAGUUUCUUCAAGGCCCUACCACCAAAAGAAAAUGAAACCGAACAACAAGAAAAGUUUUGUUUUUGCUCUAUGAAAAACGAAGUUCAAAUAAAAGAAGACUGUCAGACAA